ACCAUCAAUUUCAGGUCUGUUUCCUCCUCUUUCUCUUCCUAUUCUUUCUUCCUCACCUUCCUCUUCCUCCACCACCUCCUCCUCUUCUUCCCUCCUCUUCCCCCUCUUCCGCAACUGCGACAGCACCUCCUCUUCCACUGCUGCAGCACCACCUCUUCUUCCUUUCUCUUCCUCCUCUUCUUCCUCCACUGCCUCCUUCCGCCUCUUCCUCCACUGUCACUUGUUCCUUCCUCUUCUUAGACUCUUCAAUAUAUACCAAUGUACUGGUACAUACAGGUAAUGGUACAUACCAGUCCGGCCAUGGACCGAUACACCUGGUUGGUACGAGAUGACAAACCUUCGAUAGAAUUGCACUAAUUAUCUCCAAAUAUCUCAGUACUUUGAGAAAGUCACAUAUGGACAUUGCAUUGUGCACUAUCGAAGUGAGAUUGUGGGCAAUGUUUCAUGUGAAUGAGGAUUGAAUUUAGACAUCUAAAUUAUUUUAAAAAAUGAUCAUAGUAGCAUAGCACGGGUUAUGUAUAAGAACU
Molecule: long non-coding RNA, 527 nt
Filed under: Musa acuminata (dwarf banana)
Lineage: Eukaryota; Viridiplantae; Streptophyta; Magnoliopsida; Zingiberales; Musaceae
Description: long non-coding RNA (MACU_LNC003222)
Source: RNAcentral